UUACUUACCUGGCAGGGGAGAUACCAUGAUCACGAAGGUGGUUUUCCCAGGGUGAGGCUCAUCCAUUGCACUGCGGGUGUGCUGACCCCUGCGAUUUCCCCAAAUGCAGGAAACUCGACUGCAUAAUUUGUGGUAGUGGGGGACUGCGUUCGCGCUGUCCCCUG
Molecule: small nuclear RNA, 164 nt
Filed under: Chelonia mydas (Green sea turtle)
Lineage: Eukaryota; Metazoa; Chordata; Testudines; Cheloniidae
Description: U1 spliceosomal RNA
Rfam family: U1 spliceosomal RNA
About the family: U1 is a small nuclear RNA (snRNA) component of the spliceosome (involved in pre-mRNA splicing). Its 5' end forms complementary base pairs with the 5' splice junction, thus defining the 5' donor site of an intron. There are significant differences in sequence and secondary structure between metazoan and yeast U1 snRNAs, the latter being much longer (568 nucleotides as compared to 164 nucleotides in human).
Source: Rfam by way of RNAcentral